Long non-coding RNA from Ornithodoros turicata, 467 nucleotides. RefSeq lists it as uncharacterized. The transcript is spliced from 3 exons. The record is from RefSeq and is a predicted model, not a curated record. Lineage: Eukaryota; Metazoa; Arthropoda; Arachnida; Ixodida; Argasidae.
GAUUUUGCGUCGUAAGAGGUUUUUGCUGUUCGUUUCGAGCAGCGGCUGCGGUGUUGCGUCCCGUCAGGCCAUGAAAGAACAAAGGAGGAUAUCAUUUUGCGUCGUAAGGGUUAAGCUGUGUGAUAGAAGUGUGUGAUCAAGCAUCACUUGUAUUCAUACCAUGACUGUUGUGCUGUAGGGUUUUUUAUGUUUCGAGCGGCGGCAGCAGUUUUCCGUCCCAUCAGGUAAGUGUACAAGUAUCAGUUCGUGGCCGGUGUUGAUUGUGAACCAAAUUUGUUGUUGCUAUGACCAUUCUACUCGGUUUUACUCACUUUUGUUUGAACAUUACUAAUUUGCGAUUGAACGCCCUAUUCAGACACAUUUCUCUCCAGCGCUUCAGAGACAUCGCUUUCGCCGAAAUUCAGUGAAUUUUGAAGUCCACCGUUAUCGUGGGUCAUCAGAAGAACUCAGACCGCAACCCGUCAUUG